Molecule: ribosomal RNA, 309 nt
Filed under: Bradyrhizobium sp. DASA 35052
Lineage: Bacteria; Pseudomonadati; Pseudomonadota; Alphaproteobacteria; Hyphomicrobiales; Nitrobacteraceae
Description: partial 16S rRNA
Rfam family: Bacterial small subunit ribosomal RNA
Source: RNAcentral
GCUCAGNUCGAACGCUGGCGGCAGGCUUAACACAUGCAAGUCGAGCGGGCAUAGCAAUAUGUCAGCGGCAGCACGGGAGAGUAACGCGUGGGAACGUANUUUUGGNUCGGAACAACUGAGGGAAACUUCAGCUAAUACCGGAUAAGCCCUUACGGGGAAAGAUUUAUCGUCGAAAGGAUCGGUCCCGCGUNUGAUUAGCUANUUNGUGAGGUAAUGGCUCACCAAGGCGACGAUCAGNAGCUGGUCUGAGAGGAUGANCAGNCACAUUGGGACUGCNACACGGUCCAAACUCCNACGGGAGGCAGCACU